Molecule: long non-coding RNA, 280 nt
Organism: Selaginella moellendorffii
Lineage: Eukaryota; Viridiplantae; Streptophyta; Lycopodiopsida; Selaginellales; Selaginellaceae
Exons: 2
Source: RefSeq, a predicted model, not a curated record
CGUCGUUUCUUGAUCACUGCUGAGCGAAUCACGAGCAUUUCCACAGAAUCUUUAGUACCAAUCUACGGCGAUUUUAGUCACAAUCAGCUGUGCGAUGGUUCGAUCAUAGAGGACGUCCACUUAACUGGCAAGGCAGUCCACUUGCGAACAGGGUUCCGUGGCAUGACUUUCCGGUUUAGAUUUCGAGGUGCCAUAUCUUUGUUACUAAAAACUUCCAGGUACUGUAUGAUCUGCGAAAGAGAUUGUAAAACUCGGUCAUAUUCGCCAGGAAUUUAUAAAA